Molecule: long non-coding RNA, 811 nt
Organism: Neltuma alba
Lineage: Eukaryota; Viridiplantae; Streptophyta; Magnoliopsida; Fabales; Fabaceae
Exons: 2
Source: RefSeq, a predicted model, not a curated record
GCGACGGGGUCUUUCGUUCUGAACUGGAGCUUGCCGUUUCUGAACUGUUUCGUUUUCUCCGAUUUGGAGUUGGAGAAGAAGACAAAAGUUUGGAGUUUUGACACAUGAUCUAGAGAAAUCGAAGCUUAACACGAUCAAAGCUUCUCCAUUGUCAGAUCAAGGCUUCCACCUUGUUAGCUACUCAGAUCUGCAAGCUUCUUUAUUGUCAGAUGUCCAGAUCAAAGCUUGCGAUAGAUGUGGACGAGGAAAGAGGGAGGGAACGAUGGAGGCAGAAUAAGAUGGGAUAGGGUGACAAAGCUUGCUGUUACAAUACUUCAUCAUCGUUGUUGUUACCACUACUGCACUUGGCCAUUACAGGAAGAGAGAGAAAUACAGGCUGUCGAGACUCAAAAUUGGAGAGAUAAAGUAGGGCAGGAGGGAAAAACUGUGAAUUAAUAAAAUAUAUGAGGGUAUUAUGGUCAUAUAGUUUCACUUCCAUGGAACUUAUCUCAGUUUUUGGGUACGCCCAAGGAAUCCACGUCCAUCAUUUUUCCUGGAAGUGAGUUCCAGAAGGAAGUAGACUUCAACACACUGAACAACCUAAUUUCAUAGUUCUACUUCCACUUCCAAUUCCCUAGCCCCAAUUCCAUUGCACCAAAUGGAGCAUAAGGCUCCCUUGAAAUGUGGGAUAUUUGGUGAUGAGAUCAUAGUCUGUUGUUAUAUUUAAUCAUGUUGCACACUGAUAGGAUUCUGAGUGGUCAAGAGUGGUAUUGGAAUUUGUUCUUUAUCACUUGAGGCAAUAAAAAGCCUCGUGUAUGUAUGUGUGGGUAUA